UGAAAAGAAGAAGGGCAUGCCCAAUGGC
Molecule: non-coding RNA, 28 nt
Filed under: Rattus norvegicus (Norway rat)
Lineage: Eukaryota; Metazoa; Chordata; Mammalia; Rodentia; Muridae
Source: RNAcentral